AUGCUGGGUGCGUGCAGCUUCAGGACAAAGGGCAAUAAAACACAUUCCACAGGCACCCCCCCUGCACUAAGUCGACACGGGACAGUGUCCAGUUUCACCCGAGGCCGACAUCGAUUGGACGCCACACAGCUCAGGCAGGGAGGCAGCAAGCGUCCAGUUGAGCAUGUGACAACACAGGAUCGCAAGAGGAACUGCAGCGGGGUGACGCAUGAGCAGGCUCCUGCAGUGGCAGAUGAGACUGAGAUCUCCCCUCCUACAUUUUCUGUACAUUGUGACACACAAGCAGACUUCUGCAAUAGCCGACAAAAUCCUCAAGGUAAAAAGGUUGGACCUGACCAGAACUGAUUUCCUUGUCAUUGCCUGCAGUUAACGUGUGUUCACAGUGAUAUGUUUGAUUCAGACAGCCACUGUGCCAUGUGUUGUUUCAAAGCCUCAGCCAUCAGCCUUCCACUACAGGCAGUGUGAUGGUGCAGCAGGACAACGGCAUUCAAAGAAACAGCUCUGUGAAGCAGUCCCAUGUCUGUGAAGGAUGCCAGUCAGCAGGAUGAAAACAUUUCUCUGCAUGCAGCAGCAGUCUGACAAGUCCCAGAUGGGUAAGGUUAGGUGUUCAACUCUUUAGGAUGAACAGAGUGCUGCAGCGCCAGCUAAAGUUGCAGUUUCACGGAGCUGUUUGUCUUCAUGCUACAACUUCAGCCCAUUUUCACACUCAUACAGCUUCACAGUCUGUUCUUGUACUGAAUGGAUUGUGUACAAACAGACUGGCGCUGCAGCAGUCUGUUUAUCCUGAAGCAUUGAACACCUUACCUUACCUUACCUUACCUUCCUGGGACUUGUCAGACUGCUGCUGCAUGUAGAGAAAUGUUUUCAUCCUGCUGACUGUCAUCCUUCACAGAUAUAGGACUGCUUCACAGAGCUGUUUCUUUGAAUGCUGUCAUCCUGCUGCAAGUCACACUGAGUCUCUGUCACAAUCUGUGCAACAAAAUGACAAAGGUCAGUAUGCAUGUCGUAGUUCACAGAGCUGCUUGUCUUCAUGCUGCAACUUCAGCCCACUUUGACACUC
Molecule: long non-coding RNA, 1060 nt
Filed under: Betta splendens (Siamese fighting fish)
Lineage: Eukaryota; Metazoa; Chordata; Actinopteri; Anabantiformes; Osphronemidae
Description: lncRNA (ENSBSLG00000021898.1)
Source: RNAcentral